ACAGACACACAACCCUUCAUUUAGCAGACUAUCUUAUGCAAUGUGGCUCUGAGUUCAGUGUUCAGAUACAGGAGCAUUGUUUAAUAAAGCAGAUGCUGUUCAGCGGACAUAUAACUGUUGGUUAAUCCUGAAGAAGAUCAGUGCUUCUACCUUAUACCACAGUGCAAGCAGACGAGAGUCAUAGGCAUGGGAAACCAGACCAUUCCGGGGUUACAUUUACAGCUGGGUGGACUGACACAAUGCAGGUAAAGUGGCGUGUCCAAGGACACAACACGCGCCAUUCAAGCAGCCACCUUCUGAUUGGCAGCCUGACCCAUUAGACCACGGAGCUACAUGCUCUGCUCUCUGAUAUUGUGAUGAAGGAACGCUGCAGUCUCUCCUCACACCCAGCAAAAGAAGAGUGAGAGAGAAGGCCAGAGUGAAAGAGCGAAACAGCGAAACAGCGAAAGAGAAAGAGAGAAAGAGAGGUAAUUGAGUGUUAGGCUGAAAGUGAGUGACCCCUGACAUAUUCGUCACUGUAAUUCUGCAGGUAAGUGCUUUGGGUAAGUAGUUUGUACAACCUACACGGAAGAGGAAAAAGGAAAGUGUUCUCCUUUUGAGAUCAAACUAUAAAGACACACUUGGUCUCAGGGGCCUAAUGGAGGCAUCGGCCCCCGGAGCAGGGGGUUGUGGGUCGAAACCUUACAGGAUUAGAUUUAGUCGUUGAAAACUAAACUACACACUGAAAGGAGUGAACGCCGUUUCCAGGUGGUUUGGUACACAGGCUGCAUCCCUACCAAACUGGUCAUGAGAGAGCAAUCAAUCAACAAGGACAGAUGCCAUAUUUAGCAUGAUGAUGAUUAGUGGGUAAUAUUUGGAUGGAGAAACACAGUAUUCCCUCGUGAUCCUUCAUGUCUGAUCUCAUAAGUGCGUCACAGUGGAUCAGACAUUCAUGUGUGUGAUGGUAAAGAACUGGUACCAUGAGGUGCCUCUCAAUCCAAUGCUGAAUAGAAAUAUGUGCUAUUGGACUCUAAUUUAAAUGUAGAAAACUACAAUCUGUGCACCUACUCAUUUCGUAGAUGUGUGUAUCUAAAGCAAUUUCCAGUGCUGAAAUACAUUAUCAUCAGUAUGUGUGCUCGCUGUAAACUCAUAAAGUGUUACGAUGUUAUACUAUAAGCCCUUACAGCUUGAAGAAUCAGAAUGUGUAAUAAAGCUUCUUUUACACUUUGAUAAUGGCACUGAUGACAUCUUUGCCUUAUGUCAAACACUGUUUAUUCACCACACGCUCUUUACGGAGCCAUAUGUGACUCCAUACAAGCUACAACAUCAUGACGUCUGAUUAGAACAGAAAGAGGGAUAGAUAGACAGAUAGACUGACAGAUAGAUACAAGGAUAUAUAGAUAGAUAGACCUAUACAUACAGAGAUAAAUAGAUAGUUAGUAACUGGUACACUCCAGAUAAAGCAGACGUAUGUGAUGUGCACCAAGGCCCAGGGGCCUAAUGGAUAAGGCAUCAGCCUCCGGAGCUGGGGAUUGUGGGUUCGAGUCCCACCUGGAUCGCAACCUUAUGAGAACAAUGGAGAGCUAUAGGACAAUGUUUCACAGACACAAGACACAACUUCCUGUUCUACAAAACAGCAGUAUACAGAUAGCUGUCCCAAGAUGCUACUCUGUUAUCUCCCAUAUGCAUCACACAACAGUGAUAUAGACAACCGUCAUAUACACACACACACCUCAGCCCCUAUCAGAAAUUCAUCACCAGGGUCCCGUUCCUCGUACCUCGCUAACUGAGUUACCGAGAUAAAUUUCAGGAUGAAAUUACAUAAGUCAGCUUUUUCGGUUCCACUAAGCAGCUUUGGCAAAAUCACCGUAGCAACACAUCCAUAAACUUGAACCUGCUCCAUCGCAGGCUAAUUUAAGUGAGCUGGAUAAGCUUGCCACUCCCCCGGGAAAAAAUGGCAGUUCCCUUCCUGAGAGAUCCCAGGAAGGAGCGAUAUUAGUUAGAUUAGUGUUUUAUAGGGAGAGAGUUCUUCGAGAUCGCCAAGAUCUGUUAUCACAUCAUGAUGACUUCUUAUAUGAGCGCUAUCGAUUCUGCCGACAAGGAAUCAUUUAUUUACAAGACCUUCUCGAGCCAUACAUUGCAUUGACUGUCUCACAGACUGUAUGCAUAGCCUUGCGCUGCAUGCCGUGCUGUUGGUAAAGUUUAUUUGGCGCUUAAGAAACGUAUGGAUGUGUUCAUUACAUUCCCUGGCCAUGUCCGAGUAAAUGCAAUCAAAGAGGGCUUUUAUGGAAUUGCAGGUAAUUGAGUUAUUCAAUAUUUCACCAUUUAAUGAAAAUAAUAAUGAAUUAAUAAAAUAUGAAGGAUAUGACACUGACAAGCUGUUCAACACUUACACACUUGGUAAGGAGGAAUGGAGAAUCGAACUAGCAACCUUCCGAUUACUAAACGCCUCACUGUACCACUGUUGCAUAUGUCGUGAUACACACAUACAUACAUACAUACAUACAUUAUGGUCUUGUAUUCUUCAUAAUGGUUCAUUAUCAUCUCCUGCUCGCCAGCGGAGAAAAAGGAAGCUCUUUCUUUAAGUUUAGUAGCCAUUGUUUCGUUAGAAAAUCAUGGUUUUGGUGAUCAAUGCUUCACCCUUUUGAAGUAGGACGGGCACGCGCAAUUACCCUGAUAACUGAAGUCUGGUUCAAAUUAACAACAUUGUUUGAGCGCUGAUCAGCCUUGGAGGGACCGAGAUAGCCUGUCUUCAAUCAUCGCGUUAAUUUAAGCUGGCUAAUAGGACAUUUGAUCAACUUAGUUGAACCACGUAUGAGGAAUAGGGCCCUGGUCUCUGCCUUAAUUAAAUAAUAGAGUCUACUUUGCAGCUCACCCAAAAUGACCACAAGUAGUGGUUAAAGACAUUCAGGCACUCAGUGGUACAUAUUUACCUCAGCACUUAACUCUGUUAUUCAGCUAACAAAGAAGUCUUGCUUGCUUGCAAUUUACAUAUGAAUCAGCCCCGAUUGUCACACUAAGUAGACUAAGCAUUGGUAGCGCUCGGCUGUUAGCUUAAGGGUAUAACUAGUGCUAUAAGCUAUAACUAGUGUUACUGGUAAAAGGGGUGGGCUUUGGUUGGUUUGUUAUCUAGCCAUACAGCUUGGUGAAUAUAUCAUGGGGCUAAUCAGCACAGUUCAUUUACCCUUCCGGAGUGAGGGGUCAUAUUUAAGCACCUAGGUGAUUCUCACAUGCUCUGACCGUUUUGAAAAUGUAAUUCUGCCCCAGAUUUGGAGGAUCUCCAGGUUUCACCCCACAUAGCUAUCCAGCUAAGUCGUGACUGUCAGAGAGGGUAAGUGCUGGGUCAUUGGGAAGUGGUCCUACUAAAUGGUCCAUAGAACCCGUAUAAAAGGUAAUGAUUGGCAAGUAAUUUUUUUAGUAUUGUGUAUAGAUGACAGUGACACACGGUCAUUUGUGGUACUUUGUGAUUUGCUGAGUCCAUGACACCAAGAGUGUGUCACUCUCCCAUUUGUACAAAGCAAACGGUAAUUAUGUACUCUACAGGUGCAAUGUUAAGUUAAUCGCUGGUAAUUAGUCUUCUGAAUGUAUAGCAAUACUAGUAUGUUUUGUAGUAGUCAAAUGGUGCAGACCAUCAACAUGGACAGGCCCAGUGGCCUAAUGGAUAAGGCACCAGCCUCCGGAGCUGGGGAUUGUGGGUUCAAGUCCCAUCUGGGUCGUAAGCUUCUAAAGAACAAUGAGGACUUCCUUUGGAGAUCACAUGAAGAUACACAGGGCACUCUAAGAUAUCCCACACCCUAAAACCCAGUAUGAACUCCACAGUAAUGUCUCCCACCAAGCAGUAUUAGCCAUCUAUCAUGUGAAUUGCACAGAGCAGAACCCAAAAUGGCUGCCUUAUAACACCAUUUAAUUGUGUUAUCUUGGCGCAACCCUUUCCAAGUGCACACAACAGUGAUACAGGUUCUGGUAAUAUAAGGCAUAUGUUUACAUGGGUGGAUACAAACCAAGAAAGUGCACAGGCCUAAUGGGUACUGUAGGUGCAACUCGACAACUUCUAAGAACAAUGGGCCUCAUUCUCGAACAUUUUCUGAAGUUUCUUCUGAAAUGUUUCUUACGGACUUCGGAAAACGAACGUAAGAAAAAGAUCUUCGCCAGAUUCAUGAAUGCCUGAAAAUGUGUUCUUAUGCAGCUGAAGUUUUCUCAGCUGUGCUCCCCCGGAUGAGGAUUCUUAAAUUGAACGCGUGUUCUCGUGCACCUGAAUUUGCAUACAUACACGCCCCGCCAGCUCCUUAUAAGGGCACGCAACCGUAGUGACGUGUGCAGUCAGAAUCGACCAAAUCCACGCGAAAGCAACUCGAAAGCGAGUCAUGUCAAAGCGGAAAGCGAGCACCGGUCUAGUAAACGCAGAUCUAACUUCACCGGUGCAGAGGUGGAGGUACUGUUGCAGGAUGAAGAUGUGUCCAUUCUAUUCCACUAUGGCUAUAUCAACGCGAUUGAAUUUAGUGCUUUAUUUGAUUUAUCUAUUCACUUACAUUUGCAGUGUUCGUGUAGUCCUUUUAUUUAUUUUAGAGGACAUCACGAUGCCUUGUAGAAUCAUGACUAUAAAUGUGAAACGUAAUUGUUAAUGAUACAAGUAUUCUCGUAUUUAUUAUUAUUAUAAUUAUUUUAAUCCGAGGAUGUCUGUAGAGUUGAUGUGAACGCAAUCACCAACGAUUACUCACAAAUUCAGCCCUUAACACUUCUAACACGGAGCGGCCCAACACUGCAGAUGACGGAGAUGCAAUUUAAUUGUCGGUCUUUAAGUGCUAAGGUGUUCUGAGUGUAUAACAUGGAGAGUGUAAGUAUUUUCUUCAGUUUCUAAGAUACACACAGCAGCCAUGGAUAGAAAAAGUAAAUAUCACAAUGCAUUAGCAUGCACAGGCCCAGCGGCCUAAUGGAUGAGGCGUCAGCCUCCGAAGCUGGGGAUUGUGGGUUCAAGUCCCACCUGGGUCCCAAUGUAAACAAUGAGAGGUACAGAAUGAUGUUGAUUUAGAUGCCUCACAGAAAGAUAAAGCUGAGGCAAUCUUGUCCACAAAGCAUCAUUAUACGGUUAACUGUUCCCAUUAACGCUAGACUGUUAUGGCGUAUUCCCCAAACCUGACACAUUCCCUCACUACCCCCACCCAACACACACAAAGCCACACCACACCACAGGGUCACCUCUCCAUAGUAUUAUGACAGCAACGGGGAGCAAACUGAGAGUCCUCACAGAAACACACACAGUACAGUAUAUCAACAGUACAUUGACACAACACUUUUAU
Long non-coding RNA from Clupea harengus (Atlantic herring), 5276 nucleotides. NCBI's taxonomy places the organism in Eukaryota, Metazoa, Chordata, Actinopteri, Clupeiformes, Clupeidae. The record is from Ensembl.